RNAcentral lists this ribosomal RNA (459 nucleotides) under uncultured bacterium. Its description in RNAcentral is "partial 16S ribosomal RNA". It matches the Rfam family "Bacterial small subunit ribosomal RNA", at positions 338 to 795 of the family's 1533-position model. The record is from RNAcentral.
CCUACGGGUGGCAGCAGUGAGGAAUAUUGGUCAAUGGUCGGGAGACUGAACCAGCCAAGCCGCGUGAGGGAUGAAGGUACAGAGUAUCGUAAACCUCUUUUGUCAGGGAACAAAGGCGGGGACGUGUCCCCGGAUGAGUGUACCUGAAGAAAAAGCAUCGGCUAACUCCGUGCAAGCAGCCGCGGUAAUACGGAGGAUGCGGGCGUUAUCCGGUUUUAUGGGGUUUAAGGGGUGCGCAGGCGGUCUGUUAAGUCAGCGGUGAAAGCCCGGGGCUCAACCCCGGCCCGCCGUUGAAACUGGCAGUCUCGAGUUGGAGAGAAGUAUGCGGAAUGCGCGGUGUAGCGGUGAAAUGCAUAGAUAUCGCGCAGAACUCCGAUUGCGAAGGCAGCAUGCCGGCUCCACACUGACGCUGAGGCACGAAAGCGUGGGUAUCGAACAGGAUUAGAUACCCGAGUAGUC